Molecule: long non-coding RNA, 2228 nt
Organism: Sceloporus undulatus (fence lizard)
Lineage: Eukaryota; Metazoa; Chordata; Lepidosauria; Squamata; Phrynosomatidae
Exons: 4
Source: RefSeq, a predicted model, not a curated record
AUAUAGUUUUAAAGGGGGAAAAAUUGACACCAGUUUAGCUGUUCUGAAAUCAUAGAAAUCACUCUUUAUAAAACACUUAGAACACGCGGCUUACUGAAUACAAGAAUAUUUGCAUGCUUUCCAUUACAUAAGGAAAGUCCUGUGAACACAGACGGGGGCCUUUUCACAAUACAAAAGUAAAGCACUCUUGUUCUACUUUAACUGCUAUGGCAAGAUCCUAUGGAAUCCUGGGAUCUAUAGUUUAGGGAGAUGUAUUUAGUAUUCUCAGCUGGAGAGCUGUAGUGCCUCAUCUUUUUUACAAACCAGAAGAUCGUACAGUAUAGGAUUGUACCAAGUCAGUUAAAAUGGACUACAGCACUAUAACUGUGUAAUGUGCAGGGGUCCCAUAGGACAAACUGGAACUCCUCUGAAGCUGUUAAUUGUGCUGAAACCUUCUUUCUUCUAAUUUUGCUUAUUCAUAACCAGGGAAACAUUAGCUUCCUUCCAAGGCUGGAAAGUCUAACCCCAGAAAGGGACAAAAUGAGCCUGUGGAGGAGAAACAGAGCCAGAAAAAGGUCCCACUAUUAUUUCUGCAAAGACAGAGAAAAACUUGGGAUGGAUCCGAGCCUCUGGGAUUGCAGUGGCCCAUCAGCCUUAGGAUUCUUCCCUGAGUUUAUUUCAUACAUAGGCAGAUAAUAUCAACAAAGAGAAUUUUGGAAUACAGUAAAUGGAGACUAAGUGGACCUUGGGAGGACACCACUGGAUGAAACUCUCUAAGCCAUAGGCUGCGAUCAUGGAGACCAUGACGAUUGAACACCGGGACAUGUGUGGCCAAGCAACUUCAGAGUGUGGUCCACUGAUGGCAAAACUUAUUAAUGUUGGAGAACGCAUAAGCUAGAAGAGGCUGCAGCGGUUGGUCUUUGCCUGAGCCCACAAGGAAAGGCAAGACUCCAUCUCCUCCUAUACUCACCCUCUUGCAAAGUUAACUGCAAAAUAAUUUUGCAUUUUGAAAGUUUGCCGCAGUGGAAGUAGGCCGGUGACCAAGGGGGGAAGUGGGAGGAGGAGAGAGAAACUGGAAUAUUCUAAAAGUGGCUUAAAAAGUGGUACAACAAAAUAUUCAUAGAGAUUGUCCCUGCCAUAUCAAGAUAGUUGAAGGACUUGUCUGUAACUUCCAAUGUCCUUUGUGGCUCAAUAUGUGUAGGACUCAAAACAUGCCUUAGAUUGGGUCUUAUUCACAGUGCUCACAGUGCACAAAGGCAAAAGUACACAGAUAUAAAGUAGUUUUGUGUGCUCCAAACACUUAUUUUUCUUUCAACCCUGGAAUUACAUUAAGAAAGAUUCCCUGAACCAUUUUGGUGUUUUCAGAAUUUCUUAUGGAAAACCAUGGCAACCAUUCCAGCAACUAUAAACAUAACAUUUGUGUAACUGUAGAUGCUCCCUUUGUAAGAAUGCUCACAAUUAGACAAACAUUUUGCAGUAUUUUUUGUUAGUCAAAAGGGGUCGGGGGGGGGGGGAAUACAGCUGCAUAAAUAAAUUGCCAUUGCUACACCUACUUAUCUGUCAACGCAAAUGUUAUUUGAGGUUGCAUGCAGAAUUUAUCUCUCUCCAUUUUCUUGAAGGGAUAAAUUGUCUUAAGAGGUAUCUGAUUUCUACUUCUGGAUUUUGGUAACAGCCUGGUGACAGGAAGGCUGAAGCAAUGCCCCCCCCCAAAAAAAAUUCUGAGAUUCAACUUUAAGUCAGGGAACAUCUGGGAAAUUGUAUGUUCCCACCAUCAUCACCACUCACCUGAAACAACUUUAAUAAGAGUUUGGAAACCAGAAAUGAAGUUGUAAACCCUGAAAGAUCUUUCCAUCUCUCUGCCUUUAUGUUGAAUCCUUUAAGAAAGUUCCUGCCUGCCUUCCUCACACUUUUCUCUCUGUGACUUUAUUCUAGUUAUCUCUUGUUCUCCUCCACUUUUCCCCUCCUAAACCUGCUUUUAAAAGAGAGGACAAAACUUUGGUGUUUUCUUCCUCCAGUUCUAUGUCACAAAUUCUGCAUCCUUUAGGCUAAAGCCAGAGAAGGAAAUCCUUUUUUUGUAGGUUUUUUCUUUUUUAGAAAAAUGUGCACGGGCAAAUUAGAUGAACGGCUUUUGAGGAUGUAAUUCAACAACUUUCCCACUAGAUCUCAUUUGAAUAAAAAUGAAAACCAAAAUCAGUCAUUCUUAGGCUGCAUCAGCACUGUGGAAUUAAUGUAGUUUGACACCACUUUAU